Molecule: long non-coding RNA, 306 nt
Filed under: Setaria italica (foxtail millet)
Lineage: Eukaryota; Viridiplantae; Streptophyta; Magnoliopsida; Poales; Poaceae
Description: long non-coding RNA (SITA_LNC000308)
Source: RNAcentral
ACGCACCGAACAGUGGUGCUCCCCCCUACUCCCCGAACUGUUCCUGUGGUGGCGGUGCACAGUGCGCGGGACGUGACGGGGGUUCAAUACUCGCUAGUGGGAGGAGCUAGCCGAGGAGGACGGCCCGUGCGGCCGUGCGCACGCACGCACUAGCGCUCUAGCUCCCCUAGAACUGACUGCGGGAUGUUGCGGGAUGCCCGCGCCGCGCGCGGCUGGCUCGGCACGGCAGGACUCCACGCGCGAUCUCCACGCGCACGCGUGCCUGCUGCCACUCUGGCUGGCUAGUGGACCGGACGUGGACGGCCG